GUAGGUAUAGCUCAGUGGUAGAGUUCAUGCUUAGUAUGGAUGAUGUUCUGGGUUCAAUCCCCGUUACUUCUG
RNAcentral lists this transfer RNA (72 nucleotides) under Camelus bactrianus (Bactrian camel). It matches the Rfam family "tRNA". Rfam says of the family: Transfer RNA (tRNA) molecules are approximately 80 nucleotides in length. Lineage: Eukaryota; Metazoa; Chordata; Mammalia; Artiodactyla; Camelidae. The record is from Rfam by way of RNAcentral. RNAcentral also lists the same sequence under 2 other names.